RNAcentral lists this ribosomal RNA (2902 nucleotides) under Klebsiella pneumoniae. RNAcentral describes it as "23S ribosomal RNA". It matches the Rfam family "Bacterial large subunit ribosomal RNA". The record is from RNAcentral. Lineage: Bacteria; Pseudomonadati; Pseudomonadota; Gammaproteobacteria; Enterobacterales; Enterobacteriaceae.
GGUUAAGCGACUAAGCGUACACGGUGGAUGCCCUGGCAGUCAGAGGCGAUGAAGGACGUGCUAAUCUGCGAAAAGCGUCGGUAAGGUGAUAUGAACCGUUACAGCCGGCGAUGUCCGAAUGGGGAAACCCAGUGCAAUUCGUUGCACUAUCGUUAACUGAAUACAUAGGUUAACGAGGCGAACCGGGGGAACUGAAACAUCUAAGUACCCCGAGGAAAAGAAAUCAACCGAGAUUCCCCCAGUAGCGGCGAGCGAACGGGGAGCAGCCCAGAGUCUGAAUCAGCUUGUGUGUUAGUGGAACGGUCUGGAAAGUCCGACGGUACAGGGUGAUAGUCCCGUACACCAAAAUGCACAGGCUGUGAACUCGAAGAGUAGGGCGGGACACGUGGUAUCCUGUCUGAAUAUGGGGGGACCAUCCUCCAAGGCUAAAUACUCCUGACUGACCGAUAGUGAACCAGUACCGUGAGGGAAAGGCGAAAAGAACCCCGGCGAGGGGAGUGAAAAAGAACCUGAAACCGUGUACGUACAAGCAGUGGGAGCACCUUCGGGUGUGACUGCGUACCUUUUGUAUAAUGGGUCAGCGACUUAUAUUCUGUAGCAAGGUUAACCGUAUAGGGGAGCCGCAGGGAAACCGAGUCUUAACUGGGCGUUAAGUUGCAGGGUAUAGACCCGAAACCCGGUGAUCUAGCCAUGGGCAGGUUGAAGGUUGGGUAACACUAACUGGAGGACCGAACCGACUAAUGUUGAAAAAUUAGCGGAUGACUUGUGGCUGGGGGUGAAAGGCCAAUCAAACCGGGAGAUAGCUGGUUCUCCCCGAAAGCUAUUUAGGUAGCGCCUCGUGAAUUCAUCUUCGGGGGUAGAGCACUGUUUCGGCUAGGGGGUCAUCCCGACUUACCAACCCGAUGCAAACUACGAAUACCGAAGAAUGUUAUCACGGGAGACACACGGCGGGUGCUAACGUCCGUCGUGAAGAGGGAAACAACCCAGACCGCCAGCUAAGGUCCCAAAGUCAUGGUUAAGUGGGAAACGAUGUGGGAAGGCACAGACAGCCAGGAUGUUGGCUUAGAAGCAGCCAUCAUUUAAAGAAAGCGUAAUAGCUCACUGGUCGAGUCGGCCUGCGCGGAAGAUGUAACGGGGCUAAACCAUGCACCGAAGCUGCGGCAGCGACACUAUGUGUUGUUGGGUAGGGGAGCGUUCUGUAAGCCUGCGAAGGUGACCUGUGAGGGUUGCUGGAGGUAUCAGAAGUGCGAAUGCUGACAUAAGUAACGAUAAAGCGGGUGAAAAGCCCGCUCGCCGGAAGACCAAGGGUUCCUGUCCAACGUUAAUCGGGGCAGGGUGAGUCGACCCCUAAGGCGAGGCCGAAAGGCGUAGUCGAUGGGAAACAGGUUAAUAUUCCUGUACUUGGUGUUACUGCGAAGGGGGGACGGAGAAGGCUAUGUUAGCCGGGCGACGGUUGUCCCGGUUUAAGCAUGUAGGCUGGUUGUCCAGGCAAAUCCGGAUAAUCAAGGCUGAGGUGUGAUGACGAGGCACUACGGUGCUGAAGUAACAAAUGCCCUGCUUCCAGGAAAAGCCUCUAAGCAUCAGGUAACAUCAAAUCGUACCCCAAACCGACACAGGUGGUCAGGUAGAGAAUACCAAGGCGCUUGAGAGAACUCGGGUGAAGGAACUAGGCAAAAUGGUGCCGUAACUUCGGGAGAAGGCACGCUGGUGUGUAGGUGAAGUCCCUGCGGAUGGAGCUGAGACCAGUCGAAGAUACCAGCUGGCUGCAACUGUUUAUUAAAAACACAGCACUGUGCAAACACGAAAGUGGACGUAUACGGUGUGACGCCUGCCCGGUGCCGGAAGGUUAAUUGAUGGGGUUAUCCGUAAGGAGAAGCUCUUGAUCGAAGCCCCGGUAAACGGCGGCCGUAACUAUAACGGUCCUAAGGUAGCGAAAUUCCUUGUCGGGUAAGUUCCGACCUGCACGAAUGGCGUAAUGAUGGCCAGGCUGUCUCCACCCGAGACUCAGUGAAAUUGAACUCGCUGUGAAGAUGCAGUGUACCCGCGGCAAGACGGAAAGACCCCGUGAACCUUUACUAUAGCUUGACACUGAACAUUGAGCCUUGAUGUGUAGGAUAGGUGGGAGGCUUUGAAGCGUGGACGCCAGUCUGCGUGGAGCCAACCUUGAAAUACCACCCUUUAAUGUUUGAUGUUCUAACGUUGGCCCCUGACCGGGGUUGCGGACAGUGUCUGGUGGGUAGUUUGACUGGGGCGGUCUCCUCCCAAAGCGUAACGGAGGAGCACGAAGGUUAGCUAAUCCUGGUCGGACAUCAGGAGGUUAGUGCAAUGGCAUAAGCUAGCUUGACUGCGAGCGUGACGGCGCGAGCAGGUGCGAAAGCAGGUCAUAGUGAUCCGGUGGUUCUGAAUGGAAGGGCCAUCGCUCAACGGAUAAAAGGUACUCCGGGGAUAACAGGCUGAUACCGCCCAAGAGUUCAUAUCGACGGCGGUGUUUGGCACCUCGAUGUCGGCUCAUCACAUCCUGGGGCUGAAGUAGGUCCCAAGGGUAUGGCUGUUCGCCAUUUAAAGUGGUACGCGAGCUGGGUUUAGAACGUCGUGAGACAGUUCGGUCCCUAUCUGCCGUGGGCGCUGGAGAAUUGAGGGGGGCUGCUCCUAGUACGAGAGGACCGGAGUGGACGCAUCACUGGUGUUCGGGUUGUCAUGCCAAUGGCACUGCCCGGUAGCUAAAUGCGGAAGAGAUAAGUGCUGAAAGCAUCUAAGCACGAAACUUGCCCCGAGAUGAGUUCUCCCUGAGACUUUAAGUCUCCUGAAGGAACGUUAAAGACGAUGACGUUGAUAGGCCGGGUGUGUAAGCGCAGCGAUGCGUUGAGCUAACCGGUACUAAUGAACCGUGAGGCUUAACCUU